AGCACUCCACCAAAUCGAUUUUCAGUAAACCCCAAAUGUGUUAAACUACUACAAUUGGUCAAUGUGUUGACAAAAUUCAAGUCAUCGACCUCUCCACUUCCCAAAUGAUUCCCAUCCAAUGAAAAGUGAAG
Long non-coding RNA from Telopea speciosissima, 131 nucleotides. RefSeq lists it as uncharacterized. The record is from RefSeq and is a predicted model, not a curated record. The transcript has 3 exons. Lineage: Eukaryota; Viridiplantae; Streptophyta; Magnoliopsida; Proteales; Proteaceae.